CGCAUCUGUGCAUGCAGCAUAUCAAUAAGCGGAGGAAAAGAAACUAACAAGGAUUCCCUUAGUAACGGCGAGUGAAGCGGGAAGAGCUCAAAUUUGAAAUCUUCAAGGUUUUACCUUGACGAAUUGUAGUUUAAAGAAGUGUUUUCUGUUGAAGUUUUGGUAAAAGUUCUUUGGAAUAGGACAUCAUAGAGGGUGAGAAUCCCGUAUUUGACCAUUAUUUUCAGCUGUGUGAUACACUUUCAAAGAGUCGGAUUGUUUGGGAAUGCAGUCCAAAAUGGGUGGUAAAUUUCAUCUAAAGCUAAAUAUUGGCGAGAGACCGAUAGCGAACAAGUACCGUGAGGGAAGAUGAAAAGAACUUUGAAAAGAGAGUUAAACAGUACGUGAAAUUGUCAAAAGGGAAGCGUUUGACACCAGUGUUGUUUUCUCGAAAAUCAAUUAAAAAGAGUUAGAUUUUGUUGUGUAUUGACCUUAACAGCUUGCAUUUCAAUUUUCUUGCUUUUUUUAAUGCACUUUUCGUUUAACAAGUCAACAUCAGUUUCUUUUGUUGUAAAAAGGUCAUUGGAAGGUGGCUUUCUUUUCGGAGAAAGUGUUUAUAGCCUUUGACUCCUGCAAUCGGAGAGACUGAGGUCUGCAGCGUAGAUCCUUCGGGGUUAGAUACAUUUGUGCUAAGUUAUAGCUUUUUAUAGACAACUUGUUGACUAUGAUUAGUCUUGUAGCUUACUCGCUUAUGCUAUUUUACCUACGCUUAGGAUGUUGAUGUGAUACUGCGAGCA
RNAcentral lists this ribosomal RNA (773 nucleotides) under uncultured Neocallimastigales. Its description in RNAcentral is "partial large subunit ribosomal RNA". It matches the Rfam family "Eukaryotic large subunit ribosomal RNA", at positions 26 to 629 of the family's 3401-position model. The record is from RNAcentral. Lineage: Eukaryota; Fungi; Neocallimastigomycota; Neocallimastigomycetes; Neocallimastigales.